UACGUAGGGGGCAAGCGUUGUCCGGAUUUAUUGGGCGUAAAGAGCGUGUAGGCGGCCUGACAGGUCUGCUGUGAAAACUCGAGGCUCAACCUCGAGAUGUCGGCGGAAACCGUCUGGCUAGAGUCCGGAAGAGGAGAGUGGAAUUCCUGGUGUAGCGGUGAAAUGCGCAGAUAUCAGGAGGAAUACCUAUGGCGAAAGCAGGUAUCUGGGCCAUCACUGACGCUGAGCUGCGAAAGCUAGGGGAGCAAACAGG
RNAcentral lists this ribosomal RNA (253 nucleotides) under uncultured bacterium. Its description in RNAcentral is "partial 16S ribosomal RNA". It matches the Rfam family "Bacterial small subunit ribosomal RNA", at positions 524 to 776 of the family's 1533-position model. The record is from RNAcentral.